Turnera subulata is the source of this 71-nucleotide non-coding RNA. NCBI's taxonomy places the organism in Eukaryota, Viridiplantae, Streptophyta, Magnoliopsida, Malpighiales, Passifloraceae. The record is from the annotation of a GenBank genome assembly.
UUUGUUGUCGUCCAGCGGUUAGGAUAUCUGGUUUUCACCGAGGAGACCCGGUUCGAUUCCCGGCAACGGAA